UGUUAGGCAAAGGAAUUAAUUCAUUCUCUCCGUAGCCGGGACUUUCUUCCAGGGUUUACUAGAAAUUUAUCUCCACAGGUGUUCUAAGUCUCAGUUCAGCCAGGUUGCCUCCCUGAGCUGGGACAUCGCAGCAAGCUGGCAUGCAUCUUAGCAUGAACCUGGAGCCAGGAUCCUGGGAUCUCUAUGAUGAAAUUCUAGAAGCUGCUCUGAUUCACUUGAAAACGAUGAAAGGAAGAAAGCCUAUUGUAAGAAUUGAGCACAACUUUUGAAAGAGGUCGUCUCUUCAAUUAUAAACUCGGUGGGUCCAGCACAGAGAGAGGAUCACAGAGCUCAAGAAAAGGUGAAGGAGUGGCCAGACCCGAGGGAGAAGAUGAAAACUGGACAAAGCUGGUUUUCACUCAAGGGCUCCAGAAGGGCAGGUUGGCAGGAGAAACUAACAAACCUUUCUGAAAAGGAAGUGUAAGAGUAACCAGAGAGGGUAAAUAAGGGAACACACCUUCAGUCAAGGCUGCUUUAACCAAGACAACAGCCAUUAGCAAAAUGAUAAUAUAAUAAAUCAAUGCCGUGGAUCCAAGGUGGUUUCGAAGUCAAAAGCUUCUGGUAGGUGUCCCAGCAUUUUCUGGGAAGAAGUUUGCCUUCCAAAGUCAAAAGCAAAAAUGCUUACAAAAUGCAUGUGUCAUUAAGGCCCCUGGGCACUGCAGAAAUGCAUUAGCUAUGGGGUUGCUAAACGUUUCUUGCAAACUGAAGUACAGGAAAUGAGGGGUGUGGCGCAGCACAGCCCCAGGAGGACCUUCAGGGUUGAGAGUGUUCUGUACCUUGCAAUAUCAGGGAUGUAGCGCCUAGCCACAAGUGGUCAGUGAGCGCCGAUGCAAGGCUAGUAUUUAACUUUACUUCACAAUGUGAACCAGCUUCCUAUUUAAAUAGUCAUGUUUUUAAAGUAGCUUUCAUUUUUGAAAUGUGAGCUGUGGAUCACGAAUUCUUGUUUGACUAAAAGGAUUCAACUUCUGCAGGGGUGGGUGGACUUCUACAGAGGUGGGUGGAUUUUUGUAAAGGGCACUGGGUUACCACUCUUUUUGACACCAAAGCCUUUUCUUAGAUUUCAAUUUUCUUUCCUCACCUGAAAUGAACAGUCGCCAAAGGACUACGAAGUAGUUUUAAGUUUUCUUUGACAAGUCUUGCUCAGUGGCCUCAAUCUCAUUAUAUAAUACGACAUGUGUUUGGUGCGUCACCUCUGGUGUCCUCAAUCUCAUUGUGUAAUAUCGCAUGGGUUUGGUGGGUCAGCUCGGCUAGCAGUACCAUUUAAUGUCAUCAGGGUCUUUGAGGUGUCUACCAUAGGGGGUGGUGAUGAGUACCCUACGGAAUUCUAUACAUGGGGUACCAGUCUUCUUUGGGGAUCACCGCCUCUGCCACUCAGUGCUUAGUAGGUGUAGUUCUAAAUUAUUUGUUCUGUUUAAUGUUCAACUAUGAAGUCAUAUACCAAUAGACUAGCCAUAAAAGUAUUUAAAAUACCGCAUCUAAUAUUUUGUUUAUCUUGGUUAUCAACUUGACAUCCUUGGGAACAGAGAGCCUCAACUGAGGGACCACACCCAUUGAGUUAGCCUGUAGGUGCGUCUGUGGAACCUUUUCUUAAUUGUCAACUGGUGUAGUUGUCUGGCCUACUGUGAGACGUCUAAUCCCUAGGCAGCAACAGAAAACAAACCAGAAUGCUGUUGUCAAUGGAUGGUCUUCUGCAGUAUACUAAAAAUCAUUAUUUUUAUGUAAGCUUUUGUUACUUGAGGUUUUCAUUUGUGCCCUCGUCAUCUGUGGUGAGAGUCCUAGGUCUUCAGGCUCACAGAUCACGGCCUUUGUCAGCACCUGAUAAUCCCAGUGUGCAGUGUGUUGUAAACUUGGUAAAGAAAUUGGAAUGCAUUCUGAGCUGAUUAAGUACUAUGACUAGAUAGGUUAAGAGUUGAAGUCAUACUUUAAUCAUAUCACUGGUCUAUGUGUGAAGUUAUGUAUGUGAAAUGUAUAAAAUAUUUGCUACCACUCUAUGUCUUGUUGGUCUUAUAGCUAGCUGUUUAUAUCUUAGAUAGUCUUCUAUAA
Molecule: long non-coding RNA, 2082 nt
Organism: Peromyscus maniculatus bairdii (prairie deer mouse)
Lineage: Eukaryota; Metazoa; Chordata; Mammalia; Rodentia; Cricetidae
Source: RefSeq, a predicted model, not a curated record